Molecule: ribosomal RNA, 503 nt
Filed under: uncultured Bordetella sp.
Lineage: Bacteria; Pseudomonadati; Pseudomonadota; Betaproteobacteria; Burkholderiales; Alcaligenaceae
Description: bacterial SSU rRNA
Rfam family: Bacterial small subunit ribosomal RNA
Source: RNAcentral
GAGUUUGAUCCUGGCUCAGAUUGAACGCUGGCGGGAUGCUUUACACAUGCAAGUCGGACGGCAGCACGGGCUUCGGCCUGGUGGCGAGUGGCGAACGGGUGAGUAAUGUAUCGGAACGUGCCCAGUAGCGGGGGAUAACUACGCGAAAGCGUAGCUAAUACCGCAUACGCCCUACGGGGGAAAGCGGGGGACCUUCGGGCCUCGCACUAUUGGAGCGGCCGAUAUCGGAUUAGCUAGUUGGUGGGGUAACGGCUCACCAAGGCGACGAUCCGUAGCUGGUUUGAGAGGACGACCAGCCACACUGGGACUGAGACACGGCCCAGACUCCUACGGGAGGCAGCAGUGGGGAAUUUUGGACAAUGGGGGCAACCCUGAUCCAGCCAUCCCGCGUGUGCGAUGAAGGCCUUCGGGUUGUAAAGCACUUUUGGCAGGAAAGAAACGGCGCAGGCUAAUACCUUGCGCAACUGACGGUACCUGCAGAAUAAGCACCGGCUAACUACGUG